AAGCGGCAGGGAUAUGCCUGGCCGUUUUGCCAAUCAAAGCUGCUUCAUCAGCAAAAGCAGGGGGGGCUGAAAUUGAAUUCAGCACACUAGCAAGACAUUUUGUUAAUGUAUUAUCCUCACAAUCUUUAGGUUUGAUAUCUGUUAGAUUAUCAUCA
Long non-coding RNA from Dendrobium catenatum, 155 nucleotides. RefSeq lists it as uncharacterized. The transcript has 3 exons. Lineage: Eukaryota; Viridiplantae; Streptophyta; Magnoliopsida; Asparagales; Orchidaceae. The record is from RefSeq and is a predicted model, not a curated record.